This 2883-nucleotide ribosomal RNA is filed under the name Bacteroidia bacterium. Its description in RNAcentral is "23S ribosomal RNA". It matches the Rfam family "Bacterial large subunit ribosomal RNA". Lineage: Bacteria; Pseudomonadati; Bacteroidota; Bacteroidia. The record is from RNAcentral.
AGAAAGAAAGGGCAGACGGUGGAUGCCUAGGCUCUUGGAGGCGAAGAAGGACGUGAUAAGCUGCGAUAAGCAGGGGCGAGGUGCAAAUAACCAUUUGAACCCCUGAUUUCCGAAUGGGGCAACCCGGUGCACGUAAGUGCAUCAUCUCUGUAAAGAGAGGUAAACGUGGGGAACUGAAACAUCUAAGUACCCACAGGAGGAGAAAACAAAAGUGAUUCCGCAAGUAGUGGCGAGCGAACGCGGAACAGCCCAAACCGGCUUUGUUUAGGCAAAGUCGGGGUUGUAGGACCACGUUGUAGCAAGAAAUCGGUAAAGUGGAAUCAGCUGGAAAGUUGAAUCAGAGAAGGUGACAAUCCCGUACACGACUUAUCGACGAAGCUUAGUGGUAUCCUGAGUAGCGCGGGACACGAGAAAUCCUGUGUGAAUCAGCGGGGCCCAUCCCGCAAGGCUAAAUACUCCCAAGAGACCGAUAGCGAACCAGUACCGUGAGGGAAAGGUGAAAAGAACCUCGAAUAGAGGAGUGAAAUAGACCCUGAACCCGUCUGCCUACAAGCGGUCGGAGCACUUUCAUAGUGUGACGGCGUGCCUUUUGCAUAAUGAACCUACGAGUUACUUUUGUUGGCAAGGUUAAGUGGCUAAGUCACGGAGCCGAAGCGAAAGCGAGUCUGAAUAGGGCGUUUUAGUCAGCAGGAGUAGACGCGAAACCGAGUGAUCUACCCUUGAGCAGGUUGAAGGUUGGGUAAAGCCAACUGGAGGACCGAACCGGUAAAUGUUGAAAAAUUUUCGGAUGACUUGAGGGUAGGGGUGAAAGGCUAAUCAAACUCGGAGAUAGCUCGUACUCCCCGAAAUGCAUUUAGGUGCAGCCUUGAUAGAUGUUUGUAUGAGGUAGAGCGACUGAUUGGAUGCGAGGGCUUCGCCGCCUGUCAAGUCCGGACAAACUCCGAAUGCGUACAAAUUAUAUCAGGAGUGAGGGCGCGGGUGCUAAGGUCCGUGUCCGAGAGGAGAAGAAUCCGUACCAUCGGCUAAGGUCCCCAAAUAUAUGUUAAGUUGAUCUAACGAAGUCUGGUUACAUGGACAGCUAGGAUGUUGGCUUGGAAGCAGCCAUUCAUUUAAAGAGUGCGUAACAGCUCACUAGUCGAGUGACCGGGCAUGGAUAAUAAUCGGGCAUAAACAUAUUACCGAAGCUGUGGAAUUGUACUGAGGUACAAUUGGUAGGGGAGCAUUCUAAACUGCGUAGAAGGCCGGGGAUGACCCCGACUGGAGUGUUUAGAAAAGCAAAUGUAGGUAUAAGUAACGAUAAUGAGGGCGAGAAACCCUCACGCCGAAAGACCAAGGAUUCCUGAUCAACGUUAAUCGGAUCAGGGUAAGUCGGGCCCUAAGGAUAAGCCGAAUGGCGAAGCCGAUGGAAGAACCGGUUAAUAUUCCGGUACUGAUUGUAAGAGAGAAGUGGGGACGGAGAAGUGAAACUCCUGCCGGCUGACGGAAUAGCCGGUUAAAGGGUGUAGAUGCAGAGGAUAGUAGGCAAAUCCGCUAUCCGAGUCGAACCUGAAAGUAUCGCGAGUGCAUGCACGAGUGAAUAUGGAGGUAAACAUGCUCCCAAGAAAAACCGCUAUCGUUAAUUUUACAUUCACCCGUACUGUAAACCGACACAGGUGGUUGAGUAGAAUAUACUAAGGCGCUCGAGAGAAUCAUGGUUAAGGAAUUAGGCAAAAUGGCCCUGUAACUUCGGGAUAAAGGGCGCCUGCCGAAUAGGCAGGCCGCAGAGAAUAGGAGAAGGCGACUGUUUAACAAAAACACAUGGCUGUGCAAAAUUUAAAGAUGAAGUAUACAGCCUGACACCUGCCCGGUGCCGGAAGGUUAAGAGGAGAGCUUAUCAGCAAUGAGAAGGUUUGAAUUGAAGCCCCGGUAAACGGCGGCCGUAACUAUAACGGUCCUAAGGUAGCGAAAUUCCUUGUCGGGUAAGUUCCGACCUGCACGAAUGGUGUAACGAUCUUCUCACUGUCUCAACCAUGAGCUCGGUGAAAUUGUAGUAUCGGUGAAGAUGCCGAUUACCCGCAACGGGACGAAAAGACCCCGUGAACCUUUACUAUAGCUUUACAUUGGACUUGGGCAAUUGAUGUGUAGGAUAGGCCGGAGGCUACGAAGCAGGCGCGCUAGCGCAGGUGGAGCCACCGUUGAAAUACGGCCCUUUGAUUGUUUGAGUCCUAACCCGUAGAAAUGGGGACACUGUAUGGUGGGUAGUUUGACUGGGGUGGUCGCCUCCAAAAGAGUAACGGAGGCUUCUAAAGGUGCGCUCAGUCCGAUCGGUAACCGGACGUAGAGUGUAAUGGCAUAAGCGCGCUUGACCGGGAGACAUACAAGUCGAUCGGGUAGGAAACUAGAGCAUAGUGAUCCGGUGGUUCCGCAUGGAAGGGCCAUCGCUCAAAGGAUAAAAGGUACUCCGGGGAUAACAGGCUGAUCAUUCCCAAGAGCUCAUAUCGACGGAAUGGUUUGGCACCUCGAUGUCGGCUCGUCACAUCCCGGGGCUGGAGAAGGUCCCAAGGGUUGGGCUGUUCGCCCAUUAAAGUGGCACGCGAGCUGGGUUCAGAACGUCGUGAGACAGUUCGGUCUCUAUCUGUUGUGGGCGUAGGAAAUUUGCGGGGAACUGACACUAGUACGAGAGGACCGUGUUGGACAAACCUCUGGUGUACCGGUUGUUCCGCCAGGAGCAUGGCCGGGUAGCUAAGUUUGGGAAGGAUAAGCGCUGAAAGCAUCUAAGUGCGAAGCCGGCCUCAAGAUAAGAUUUCCAAAUUAAGGUCGUUGAAGACUACGACGUCGAUAGGCUGCAGGUGUAAAGGUGGUAACAUCAUAGCCGAGCAGUACUAAUCACCUGAAUACUUGUCU